UAAUAAUGUUCAGAUUAAGCUUCAUGAA
This 28-nucleotide non-coding RNA is filed under the name Mus musculus (house mouse). Lineage: Eukaryota; Metazoa; Chordata; Mammalia; Rodentia; Muridae. The record is from RNAcentral.